AACCAAUAUCCCCUGGCCAUCGGAUACGGCCCGCGACGAACAGUGAUUGCUGUUGGUGCCGCACGUCAUGGUGGUCUUCCCCAACAUGCGGGUGGCCGCUCACAGAGCCGCCUCCAGGGCUUGUUUUGGUAAUGCCUUUCUGCCAUUUAUGGGCUAACCUAGUGGCCUGAGUACAUGACCCGGCGGGUUUGUGCCGGGUCUUUAU
This 205-nucleotide small RNA is filed under the name Klebsiella quasipneumoniae. RNAcentral's name for it is "isrO". It matches the Rfam family "isrO Hfq binding RNA". The record is from RNAcentral. Lineage: Bacteria; Pseudomonadati; Pseudomonadota; Gammaproteobacteria; Enterobacterales; Enterobacteriaceae.